AAGGGCGCACGGUGGAUGCCUUGGCACUAGAAGCCGACGAAGGACGUUACUAACGACGAUAUGCUUUGGGUAGCUGUAAGUAAGCGUUGAUCCAGAGAUUUCCGAAUGGGGGAACCCAGCACGAGUUAUGUCGUGUUAUCGACAAGUGAAUUCAUAGCUUGUCAGAAGGCAGACCCGGAGAACUGAAACAUCUUAGUACCCGGAGGAAGAGAAAGAAAAAUCGAUUCCCUGAGUAGCGGCGAGCGAAACGGGAAGAGCCCAAACCAAUAAGCUUGCUUAUUGGGGUUGUAGGACACUCUAUACGGAGUUACAAAGGAAUAUAUUAGACGAAUCAUCUGGAAAGUUGAAUCAAAGAAGGUAAUAAUCCUGUAGUUGAAAAUAUAUUCUCUCUUGAGUGGAUCCUGAGUACGACGGAGCACGUGAAAUUCCGUCGGAAUCUGGGAGGACCAUCUCCUAAGGCUAAAUACUCUCUAGUGACCGAUAGUGAACCAGUACCGUGAGGGAAAGGUGAAAAGUACCCCGGAAGGGGAGUGAAAGAGAACUUGAAACCGUGUGCUUACAAGUAGUCAGAGCCCGUUAAUGGGUGAUGGCGUGCCUUUUGUAGAAUGAACCGGCGAGUUACGAUCUGAUGCAAGGUUAAGCAGGAGAUGUGGAGCCGUAGCGAAAGCGAGUCUGAAUAGGGCGUUGAGUAUUUGGUCGUAGACCCGAAACCAGGUGAUCUACCCAUGGUCAGGUUGAAGUUCAGGUAACACUGAAUGGAGGACCGAACCGACUUACGUUGAAAAGUGAGCGGAUGAACUGUGGGUAGCGGAGAAAUUCCAAUCGAACUUGGAGAUAGCUGGUUCUCUCCGAAAUAGCUUUAGGGCUAGCCUCAAGUGAUGAUUAUUGGAGGUAGAGCACUGUUUGGACGAGGGGCCCCUCUCGGGUUACCGAAUUCAGACAAACUCCGAAUGCCAAUUAAUUUAACUUGGGAGUCAGAACAUGGGUGAUAAGGUCCGUGUUCGAAAGGGAAACAGCCCAGACCACCAGCUAAGGUCCCAAAAUAUAUGUUAAGUGGAAAAGGAUGUGGCGUUGCCCAGACAACUAGGAUGUUGGCUUAGAAGCAGCCAUCAUUUAAAGAGUGCGUAAUAGCUCACUAGUCGAGUGACACUGCGCCGAAAAUGUACCGGGGCUAAACAUAUUACCGAAGCUGUGGAUUGUCCGUAGGACAAUGGUAGGAGAGCGUUCUAAGGGCGUUGAAGCAUGAUCGCAAGGACAUGUGGAGCGCUUAGAAGUGAGAAUGCCGGUGUGAGUAGCGAAAGACGGGUGAGAAUCCCGUCCACCGAUUGACUAAGGUUUCCAGAGGAAGGCUCGUCCGCUCUGGGUUAGUCGGGUCCUAAGCUGAGGCCGACAGGCGUAGGCGAUGGAUAACAGGUUGAUAUUCCUGUACCACCUAGCAUCGUUUUAAUCGAUGGGGGGACGCAGUAGGAUAGGCGAAGCGUACGAUUGGAUUGUACGUCUAAGCAGUGAGAUUGAGUGUUAGGCAAAUCCGGCACUCUUAAGAUUGAGCUGUGAUGGGGAGAGGAAAUUGUUUCCUCGAGUCGUUGAUUUCACACUGCCGAGAAAAGCCUCUAGAUAGAUAAUAGGUGCCCGUACCGCAAACCGACACAGGUAGUCAAGAUGAGAAUUCUAAGGUGAGCGAGCGAACUCUCGUUAAGGAACUCGGCAAAAUGACCCCGUAACUUCGGGAGAAGGGGUGCUCUUUAGGGUGCAAGCCCAGAAGAGCCGCAGUGAAUAGGCCCAAGCGACUGUUUAUCAAAAACACAGGUCUCUGCUAAACCGUAAGGUGAUGUAUAGGGGCUGACGCCUGCCCGGUGCUGGAAGGUUAAGAGGAGU
RNAcentral lists this ribosomal RNA (1875 nucleotides) under Staphylococcus haemolyticus. RNAcentral's name for it is "partial 23S ribosomal RNA". It matches the Rfam family "Bacterial large subunit ribosomal RNA", at positions 13 to 1887 of the family's 2925-position model. Lineage: Bacteria; Bacillati; Bacillota; Bacilli; Caryophanales; Staphylococcaceae. The record is from RNAcentral.